RNAcentral lists this long non-coding RNA (207 nucleotides) under Elaeis guineensis (African oil palm). RNAcentral's name for it is "long non-coding RNA (EGUI_LNC055013)". Lineage: Eukaryota; Viridiplantae; Streptophyta; Magnoliopsida; Arecales; Arecaceae. The record is from RNAcentral.
GUGGGGUACCCUCUAGAUUAGGACCCUUCGAUAAUUAAGUUAACCAGGGCCUUGUGAAUCAACGGUAGAAAUGGAAAGACAAGAAGAUAAGAGAGAAGAUUUUGGGAGAACAAAGUGAAGACUCUUAUUUUCUUUAGUGAGGGAAGUUGAAAGGAUUCAGCAGAGUCUCAAUACUGUGAGUUUUGACUUACCUUACGGAGGACACCC